UACAGAGGGGGCAAGCGUUGUUCGGAAUUACUGGGCGUAAAGGGCGCGUAGGCGGCCUUCUAAGUCGAACGUGAAAUCCCCGGGCUCAACCCGGGAACUGCGUCCGAUACUGGAAGGCUUGAAUCCGGGAGAGGGAUGCGGAAUUCCAGGUGUAGCGGUGAAAUGCGUAGAUAUCUGGAGGAACACCGGUGGCGAAGGCGGGUCUCUGGGCCGAUAUUGACGCUGAGGAGCGAAAGCGUGGGGAGCGAACAGG
RNAcentral lists this ribosomal RNA (253 nucleotides) under uncultured bacterium. RNAcentral describes it as "partial 16S ribosomal RNA". It matches the Rfam family "Bacterial small subunit ribosomal RNA", at positions 524 to 776 of the family's 1533-position model. The record is from RNAcentral.